AAGAUAGCUAAAAGUAAUCGUUUUAAUCCAGUUUCUGUUGUUUGCAGAUGUCGAAAUAAGUUAUCCAAUAAUUAUUUAUUCGGUGUAAUAGUUAAAACAAAAUGAUUUUAUUUUGACUGAUUGUAUUUAGAGUUGAUUAAGAACUUAACAGUCGGUAUUCAAAGUUUUAAGUUUGAAACCUAAUUACUUUAUAGUUCUAGCUUAAUACAUCUGAAUAUAGGAGUCCGGCUGGGGUACUAUCGAUAGCACUGAGGAUUUGAUACUAUCGAGUUUUCUACCGUUAGAUUUAACCCUUUGAUUAAUUUUAUCCGUUAGAUUAUACUAUUCAACCAACCACCCAUUCAAUCCUAGAGGGCUCACAUCAUGCUAACCGUAUAUUUUUCAAUCCAAAAACUAAAAAACUAAUAGCAUCAAUGGCUUGGUGCUAUUAAUAAUAUCCCAGCCUAAUUCCUGAAUAUAGUAAGUUGCAAUAUCUUAUAGUAGCAUAAAAGGACAUUUUACCCUUUACAUGAAAAUUAUAGGAAAAACUUCAAAAACCUCCCAUGUGGUUUCGUAGUUUCUCACUUUGCCCCCCUGUGGUUUAAAAUGUAUCAAUUUGCCUCACUGUGGUUUUGUUUUUCUCUUUUUCUUAUCAAUUUCAUUAUUUUUUUUCCUUAAAUCAGUAAUAAAGUUAAAAUUAAAAGGUACUAAAGUGAAUAUUUGAUAAAUCUAGAUGGGCAUCUGAAGUUUUUUGUAUAUAAUUUAACGAAAUAUUAACGAAAAAGCUACCGAAAAGAUAAAAACGAAACCAUAGGGGGGCAAAUUGAUACACUUUAAACCAUAGGAGGGCAAAGUGAGAAACAACGAAACCACAUGGGGGGUUUUUGAAGUUUUCCUAAAAUUAUAUGGUAGCAAAAUUGAAAAUCCAAAAUGGGACAAAGUGGAUCCAUGAGAGGCGUAAAACUUCAGUGGAGAGUUUUCUGACAAAAUUUCGUUGAAUAGCUUUCGAUCCGUUGUCAUAUAUCAAUUUUGUCUCAAUCCAAAAAUCUGUUGAGUAUUUUUAAUACCAAAAUCUAAAAAUAAAAUCUUAAAUCUUAAACAAAAAUAUGCGCAAAUUUG
Molecule: long non-coding RNA, 1098 nt
Filed under: Ananas comosus (pineapple)
Lineage: Eukaryota; Viridiplantae; Streptophyta; Magnoliopsida; Poales; Bromeliaceae
Description: long non-coding RNA (ACOM_LNC000194)
Source: RNAcentral